RNAcentral lists this ribosomal RNA (468 nucleotides) under uncultured bacterium. RNAcentral describes it as "partial 16S ribosomal RNA". It matches the Rfam family "Bacterial small subunit ribosomal RNA", at positions 28 to 507 of the family's 1533-position model. The record is from RNAcentral.
GACGAACGCUGGCGGCGUGCUUAACACAUGCAAGUCGAACGGAAAGGACCUGCAUUUGCGGGGUGCUCGAGUGGCGAACGGGUGAGUAACAUGUGAGUAACCUGCCCAUGACUUUGGGAAAACUUAAGGAAACUGGGGCUAAUACCGGAUAGGAGCUCCUGCUGCAUGGUGGGGGUUGGAAAGUUUCGGCGGUUGGGGAUGGACUCGCGGCUUAUAAGCUUGUUGGUCGGGUAGUGGCUUAACAAGGCUUUGACGGGUAGCCGGCCUGAGAGGGUGCCCAGCCGCAUUGGGACUGGCGUACGGCGCAGGCUGCUACUGUGAGCAGUAGUCGGGAUUAUUCCACAAGUAGCGGGAGCCAGAUGCAGCAACUCCACUUGCUGAAUAACGGCCUUCGAGUUAUGAACCGCUUUCGCCUGUGACUUAGCAUGUGUGACGGUAAUGGGUAAAGAAGCACCGGCUAACUACGUG